Molecule: microRNA precursor, 62 nt
Filed under: Monodelphis domestica (gray short-tailed opossum)
Lineage: Eukaryota; Metazoa; Chordata; Mammalia; Didelphimorphia; Didelphidae
Description: microRNA mdo-mir-12318 precursor
Source: miRBase by way of RNAcentral
GGUUACUGAUCUAGAACCAGAUAUCCUGUCAAACUAAGUCUGGUUCUAGAUCAGUAAACACA